RNAcentral lists this ribosomal RNA (495 nucleotides) under uncultured bacterium. Its description in RNAcentral is "partial 16S ribosomal RNA". It matches the Rfam family "Bacterial small subunit ribosomal RNA", at positions 28 to 507 of the family's 1533-position model. The record is from RNAcentral.
GACGAACGCUGGCGGCGUGCCUAAUACAUGCAAGUAGAACGCUGAAGGAGGAGCUUGCUCUUCUGGAUGAGUUGCGAACGGGUGAGUAACGCGUAGGUAACCUGCCUGGUAGCGGGGGAUAACUAUUGGAAACGAUAGCUAAUACCGCAUAAGAGUAGAUGUUGCAUGACAUUUACUUAAAAGGUGCAAUUGCAUCACUACCAGAUGGACCUGCGUUGUAUUAGCUAGUUGGUGGGGUAACGGCUUACCAAGGCGACGAUACAUAGCCGACCUGGGAGGGUGAUCGGCCACACUGGGACUGAGACACGGCCCAGAACCCUACGGGAGGCAGCAGGAGGGAAUCUUCGGCAAUGGACGGAAGGCUGAACGAGCAACGCCGCGUGGGUGAAGAAGGUUUUCGGAUCGUAAAACUCUGUUGUAAGGGGAGAACGAGUGGGAGAGUGGAAAGUUCACACUGUGACGGUAUCUUACCAGAAAGGGACGGCUAACUACGUG